UUAAGUUAUGCACCUUAGUCGGAGGUACAUGACUCAGAUCACUGUACAACUGGCAUUCACAACAUUUUCUCACCGGUGCUAUACAAUUCUUCUCUAUUACCAACUAAUAAUAACCUCGUCGCAUGAUCUUUCUGGUUAACACUAUGUCCUUCAUAUAGGCCACAUACUCCUUUGUGCAUUUCCUCUAUCACUACUUGGGCUUUCGCUUUAG
Molecule: long non-coding RNA, 211 nt
Filed under: Ricinus communis (castor bean)
Lineage: Eukaryota; Viridiplantae; Streptophyta; Magnoliopsida; Malpighiales; Euphorbiaceae
Description: long non-coding RNA (RCOM_LNC000642)
Source: RNAcentral